Molecule: ribosomal RNA, 481 nt
Filed under: uncultured bacterium
Lineage: Bacteria
Description: partial 16S ribosomal RNA
Rfam family: Bacterial small subunit ribosomal RNA
Source: RNAcentral
GACGAACGCUGGCGGCGUGCUUAACACAUGCAAGUUGAACGGUAAGGCCCCUUCGGGGGUACACGAGUGGCGAACGGGUGAGUAACACGUGAGGAACCUGCCCUUGACUCUGGGAUAACAGUGGGAAACUUCUGCUAAUACCGGAUAUUCAGAUUCUGCCGCAUGGUGGGGUUUGGAAAGCUUUUGUGGUCAAGGAUGGUCUCGCGGCCUGUCAGCUUGUUGGUGAGGUAAUGGCUUACCAAGGCUUCGACGGGUAGCCGGCCUGAGAGGGCGACCGGCCACAUUGGGACUGAGAUACGGCCCAGACUCCUACGGGAGGCAGCAGUGGGGAAUAUUGCACAAUGGGCGAAAGCCUGAUGCAGCAACGCCGCGUGCGGGAUGACGGCCUUCGGGUUGUAAACCGCUUUCAGUAGGGACGAAGCGCAAGUGACUGUACCUACAGAAGAAGCACCGGCUAACUACGUGCCAGCAGCCGCAGUAA